CGUAGGCAGCGAGCGUUGUUCGGAGUUACUGGGCGUAAAGGGUGUGUAGGCGGUUGUCUAAGUUUGGUGUGAAAUCUCCCGGCUCAACCGGGAGGGUGCGCCGAAAACUGGAUGACUAGAGUGCGGGAGGGGAGUGUGGAAUUCCCGGUGUAGCGGUGAAAUGCGCAGAUAUCGGGAGGAACACCAGCGGCGAAGGCGGCACUCUGGGCUGGUACUGACGCUGAGGAGCGAAAGCGUGGGUAGCAAACAGGAUUAGAUACCCUGGUAGUCCACGCCGUAAACGUUGGGCACUAGGUGUGGGGCCUUUCCAACGGGUUCCGUGCCGUAGCUAACGCAUUAAGUGCCCCGCCUGGGGAGUACGGCCGCAAGGCUA
This 373-nucleotide ribosomal RNA is filed under the name uncultured organism. RNAcentral's name for it is "bacterial SSU rRNA". It matches the Rfam family "Bacterial small subunit ribosomal RNA", at positions 526 to 896 of the family's 1533-position model. The record is from RNAcentral.